GCAAGUCGAACGGGAAGCCUAAUUUCGAUUAGGUGGAGAGUGGCGCACGGGUGAGUAACACGUAACUUAUCUGCCCUAAAGAGGGGGAUAACGCACCGAAAGGUGUGCUAAUACCCCAUAAGCUCACGAUUUAUAGAUGAUAGUGAGAAAAACCCCGGUGCUUUAGGAUGAGGUUGCGGCCCAUCAGCUAGUUGGUAAGGUAAUGGCUUACCAAGGCGACGACGGGUAGGGGGCCUGAGAGGGUGACC
Molecule: ribosomal RNA, 248 nt
Filed under: uncultured bacterium
Lineage: Bacteria
Description: partial 16S ribosomal RNA
Rfam family: Bacterial small subunit ribosomal RNA
Source: RNAcentral